AGCAUACGAUUUGUAUAACUAAAUGUGCGAUUCAAAUUCACUCGCAAUCAGUUCAAGCAAACAUAUGGGCGGGCACAUUCAAAAUCAUAGAUAACGAGUCACAAAAUUGAAUCAAGCAAUUAGUUAACAUUAGAAUGAGUAAAGGAUUGAAGUUUUAAACCUUAUCACACGAAACUUUUUGAUUAAUCGAUAGAGUGCAAUAACAACGCCUCAAAUCUACAAAAUCCAAUCGCGAAAAUACAGCAGCAACAGAAACUGAACCGGUACCGCGAACCAGCAACAAUACUCAAACGGUGCCAGAAAUCUCAAACAGGAACAAUGAACUAACUACGAACAGCUUUACCUCAGUCGGAAUGGGAUAAAAUUCCAAUAAUCAAACGAAAAUUCAUUUUAAAACCCAGAAUUCAAAACUUAAAAUGAGCAGAUUAUUCUUCUUAAAUAUGUUUUCUCUUCUGUUUUUUUUUUCGUUUAUUGACUCUGUGUGUGUGUGUGUUUCUGAAGAAGCAGCAGAAGUUGUGAGAGAGAUAUGGUUGUGUUGUUACGACUGGUCGAAGAAGAAGAACGAGGGGGGUCAUUUGUGGCUGCUCAACGGCGACACGAGUAAUGAGAGGGUCUGCCACGUGGUGAAGGAUGGGACGAUGAGUUUCAAGGGUUCUUGGUAGAGUUCUAGCUUGGAUGAGUUCUUGGGGUUCAGGGGUCUUGGGCGUUGUAUUUUUGGUGAGGCUGAAGAGGCCAGGGGUCGUUUUUGGUAGAGAUGGGUGAGACUAAGCGGUUGGCGGCAGCUUGGUGUAUGUAGAAGAGGGCGGAGGGUGGUGGCUGUGUUGACCUUUUUAGGUCUAGGAUCCUUGUUGUAGUGUGCUAGGGUUAGGUCUUAUUUCAAGAUUAAAGAUGAGGACUAAGUAACCAGGGUUAGCUCAAUGUUUCUUCUCUUGUUCUCUAAGGUUGAAGAAGCGUUUCUGGGAAAGGUUAAAGAAGA
This 976-nucleotide long non-coding RNA is filed under the name Nicotiana benthamiana. Its description in RNAcentral is "long non-coding RNA (NBEN_LNC009993)". The record is from RNAcentral. Lineage: Eukaryota; Viridiplantae; Streptophyta; Magnoliopsida; Solanales; Solanaceae.